GACGGAGGGAGCAAGCGUUGUCCGGAUUUACUGGGCGUGAAGAGCGCGUAGGCGGUUCGUUAAGUCAACUGUGAAAUCGCUGGGCUCAACCCAGCAACUGCAGUUGAUACUGGCGGGCUCGAGUUCGGGAGAGGGAAGCGGAAUUGCUGGUGUAGCGGUGGAAUGCGUAGAGAUCAGCAAGAACACCGGUGGCGAAGGCGGCUUCCUGGACCGAUACUGACGCUGAGGCGCGAAAGCUAGGGGAGCGAACGGG
RNAcentral lists this ribosomal RNA (253 nucleotides) under uncultured bacterium. Its description in RNAcentral is "partial 16S ribosomal RNA". It matches the Rfam family "Bacterial small subunit ribosomal RNA", at positions 524 to 776 of the family's 1533-position model. The record is from RNAcentral.